UUUCCGUAGGUGAACCUCCGGAAGGAUCAUUG
Molecule: ribosomal RNA, 32 nt
Filed under: Platanus x hispanica
Lineage: Eukaryota; Viridiplantae; Streptophyta; Magnoliopsida; Proteales; Platanaceae
Description: partial 18S ribosomal RNA
Source: RNAcentral